ACAUUAAACCCAUUAAGUCUAACUACCCUUCAAAUCAGUCUUGUCCAUUGGAUCAUGCUGAAAAUAAAUCUUGACCCUUUAAACUUCUAUUUUUAACUGCUAUUGUGGCAGUUCUGGGCGGUUCUGUACGCCCCUCAUUUUCCGGCCCAUCUUUCCCACUAAACACGGUUGCUACAAAAUUGGGACGUGGGUAAACUGCAGUUGCCAACCGAUCUUAUAUAACAUAUUCGCCUCCAUACAUGAUAUCAUAUAUACACAGAAACACAAAGAUGGCACCGUUAUUCAAUCGCGAUCUCAAACCUACAUUCAAGCGUUCUUCAUUCGCGAUCUGUCGAGACCUAAAUUUCCCGUUGUUGCUAAAUGUUUGAUCAGAGAAAUUAGGUUAGAUCAGAGAAAUUUGAAACCGUCUGGAGCAGAAGAAACCAAAAUGGCUCUUUCCAAAGCCAAGGCAAGGCAUGGAAAUCGUUUCCUCAAACCCCCUCGUCCUCUUUACAAUUCAGUUUUUUAGAUUUUGUUUCUGUUGUUUUAUUUAUUCACUUUCAUUUACUUAUGUCUGGCCAUCUUAUUUUCACCCAUGUAUCACCACAGGCUGAAUUAGUGGUUGUGUCACUUGCUUAUUGUUAUUGCUUUUGAUAAGAAGUCGAAACAGAGAUGGAAGAAUAUGAACAAGAGCAAGAGCAAGACAUACCUAAUGAUAAUGGAUUGAAAUCAGCGGGGGACAAUAGUUUUGGGCUGGAUUUCUCUUUACCAGUAGUUAAAUGAUACCUAGCAAUCACACUCUCCGUGUAGACUUCCAUGGUCUUUUAUGAGAAUUCUGGGUUGCAAAAAGUGUAUGCCACAGUGUGGUAUUGUCAGGAAAAGCAAGUGUUGGAGCUGCUGCACUACUAAAAAGGGCGGUUAGUAAAUUUAAUUUAACCUUACGUUCAAUUCGCUUAGCAUGAUAAGCAGAAGUGGAAAAUGGACGGGUUGGGUAACGGGUCAUUUCUAUUACAUGUGUUUAUUUCCUUCAAGUACAUUAUGAAAAUGUGUGUUAUAUUGGUCAAAUAGAGAUAGGAAAAUGGAUGGGUGGGCAGAGUCAAACGGCUAAUUUUUUUAAUAUGUGUGUUAAUUUGGUCAAGUACAAUAUGGAAACUGGUCCAACUAGCUAACCAAUCUGUUUGGCUCAACAAUUACUUUUCAUCUCCUAACUACAUUGAAUGAGCUCAUGAUGCUUUCAAAGGAUAUGCUAUUAAGCAAUACGAUCCAAAAAGUGGUUUCUAACCUUUUUAUAAAACCCAAACUAUUCUUUAAAAUUUGCUAAUCUGAUUAUCUCCUUGAGUAUUUAUAAGAGUUUAAAUCUUUUUAAUUUAGAAGGUAUGUCCUACUUUUGGUGUACCAUUAAUAAAGAGGAUUCUUGAUAAUUUCGCCCCAAAUGAGUUUUUCCCAGGCCCUCUUGCUGAAGUGGUGCUUGAAGCACUGGAGUCAGGGGACAGUUUCUCUGGAUUUUUUUUCUUACUUAUGCUUUAAACAUUUAAAAUAACCAGAAGUUGCAUGUUCAUUGCUUUUAAGAUAUUCAAUAUUUUUUCAAAAAUUAUGUACUCGAUAUUUAAACUGUCUCUUUAUAAUUCUUUUUCAUAAAGCAUUGUGAUACUUGAUUCCAUGUUCAGCACUUGCUUCGUAAGCUUGAAAGCGAGUCAUGCAUCGGAAAGACGUUAACCUCUUUACAAGUCAUUUAUAGCAAUCUGUACAUACUGUAACCAUAUUCCUCUUUUUCUAUCUAUAAUGCUUCUAUACCUGUGUUGCAUCUAGACUAAGUACCUUUACAUUUGUAAGUGGAUUGUGAACUUUCAACUGAUGCUAAGGUUAUGAAAUUCGUGCCAUCACAAUCA
This is a long non-coding RNA of Helianthus annuus (common sunflower), 1868 nucleotides long. RefSeq lists it as uncharacterized. Lineage: Eukaryota; Viridiplantae; Streptophyta; Magnoliopsida; Asterales; Asteraceae. The record is from RefSeq and is a predicted model, not a curated record. The transcript has 6 exons.